This 87-nucleotide transfer RNA is filed under the name Thermoleophilia bacterium. RNAcentral's name for it is "tRNA-Ser". It matches the Rfam family "tRNA". From Rfam's summary of the family: Transfer RNA (tRNA) molecules are approximately 80 nucleotides in length. The record is from RNAcentral. Lineage: Bacteria; Bacillati; Actinomycetota; Thermoleophilia.
GGAGAGGUAGCCUAGUCUGGCCUAAGGCGCGGCCCUCGAAAUGCCGUGGGUAGAAAUGCCUCGUGGGUUCGAAUCCCACCCUCUCCG